This 1029-nucleotide ribosomal RNA is filed under the name Talaromyces islandicus. RNAcentral describes it as "SSU rRNA". It matches the Rfam family "Eukaryotic small subunit ribosomal RNA", at positions 72 to 1109 of the family's 1831-position model. Lineage: Eukaryota; Fungi; Ascomycota; Eurotiomycetes; Eurotiales; Trichocomaceae. The record is from RNAcentral.
CUUUGUACUGUGAAACUGCGAAUGGCUCAUUAAAUCAGUUAUCGUUUAUUUGAUAGUACCCUACUACAUGGAUACCUGUGGUAAUUCUAGAGCUAAUACAUGCGCAAAACCCCGACUUCGGAAGGGGUGUAUUUAUUAGAUAAAAAACCAAUGCCCUUCGGGGCUCCUUGGUGAUUCAUAAUAACUUAACGAAUCGCAUGGCCUUGCGCCGGCGAUGGUUCAUUCAAAUUUCUGCCCUAUCAACUUUCGAUGGUAGGAUAGUGGCCUACCAUGGUGGCAACGGGUAACGGGGAAUUAGGGUUCGAUUCCGGAGAGGGAGCCUGAGAAACGGCUACCACAUCCAAGGAAGGCAGCAGGCGCGCAAAUUACCCAAUCCCGAUCCGGGGAGGUAGUGACAAUAAAUACUGAUAUAGGGCUCUUUUGGGUCUUAUAAUUGGAAUGAGUACAAUCUAAACCCCUUAACGAGGAACAAUUGGAGGGCAAGUCUGGUGCCAGCAGCCGCGGUAAUUCCAGCUCCAAUAGCGUAUAUUAAAGUUGUUGCAGUUAAAAAGCUCGUAGUUGAACCUUGGGCCCGUCCUGCCGGUCCGCCUCACCGCGAGUACUGGUCCGGAUGGGCCUUUCUUUCUGGGGAAUCCCAUGGCCUUCACUGGCUGUGGCGGGGAACCAGGACUUUUACUGUGAAAAAAUUAGAGUGUUCAAAGCAGGCCUUUGCUCGGAUACAUUAGCAUGGAAUAAUAAAAUAGGACGUGUGGUUCUAUUUUGUUGGUUUCUAGGACCGCCGUAAUGAUUAAUAGGGAUAGUCGGGGGCGUCAGUAUUCAGCUGUCAGAGGUGAAAUUCUUGGAUUUGCUGAAGACUAACUACUGCGAAAGCAUUCGCCAAGGAUGUUUUCAUUAAUCAGGGAACGAAAGUUAGGGGAUCGAAGACGAUCAGAUACCGUCGUAGUCUUAACCAUAAACUAUGCCGACUAGGGAUCGGGCGGUGUUUCUAUGAUGACCCGCUCGGCACCUUACGAGAAAUCAAAGUUUUUG